UUAUCUACCCUAUUUAGUUCUAGCUCGUUCAGUUCUCCCUUGUCUGGAAUUGUAUGUUGAUGUCUUCUCCUCGUGCUAUGUGUGAUUCCCUGAAACAGAUAAUUGAACUGCUUC
This is a long non-coding RNA of Sinocyclocheilus anshuiensis, 114 nucleotides long. RefSeq lists it as uncharacterized. The transcript has 4 exons. Lineage: Eukaryota; Metazoa; Chordata; Actinopteri; Cypriniformes; Cyprinidae. The record is from RefSeq and is a predicted model, not a curated record.